CCUUCCCCAUGUUGCUUGAGCCACUGAAUCAUACAACGAGAAUCUUUUAUUGUAGCCCUCGUCUCGUUCUAAACAGUCCUUGCUGCGAGGUAGCCAAAGAUUUGUGUACACAAUCUUCUGAACCUUUUUACCAUCAUGCACCGAGAAAGUUGAUCUAAAAUUCUAAAUUCAACACUGCAGGGAACAUCCUCGAUGGGAAGUUCAUCGACCUUCUGGCAUGGUGAUCGUAACGAUAUUCCCUGUGUACAAGUCUUCCCUUAUUGGAGAUGCCUCUCUCUCCAUAAAGAAACCGGGCUGUUUAGGUUUUGGCAAGAUUGCUUCCUCAUUCGCUAACAUGAAAACGACUGAAGACAUUGUUGGCCUAUCUCCAUGAAGUUUUUGGACACAUAGCAAACCAACAUGAAUGCAUCUCUCUACUUGGGAUGCAAUGAAGGAGUCACAUAGAGAUUCAUGUAGAAGCUCCAAGGACCUGCCUGCGCUCCACAGCAACCAUGCCUGGGACAAAUCCAUUUAUGUGAUUAAACAUCACCUAAAAGACAUGAGUUUGGACAACCAUAUCGUACUUACUUACAUGCCCAAGAAGGUUGUGUUGAUGAUCAGGAUGGCAAAACCCUCUGUUCCUUUUGCCACUUACUAUCUCUAGCAAAACUACACCAAGGCUAAAAACAUCGGAUUUCACAGAGAAUUUUCCAUCAAAAGCAUAUUCUGGGGACAUGUAGCCACUGCAUUAAGAAUAUCUAGACUUAAAUCUAGCCAGUGUUCAUGGACAGUGCUCGUUAAUCAAGAUAAGAAACUUACUAGGUACCAAUGAUUCUUCUCGUUCUUGCUUCUCUUUCAUUGCCUCCAAAGAUUCUUGCAAGGCCAAAGUCUGAGAUUUUAGGAUUGAGGUCCACAUCUAACAAAAUAUUACUUGUUUUGAGAUCUCUGUGAAUGACUUGCAGUUUUGAAUCUUGAUGAAGAUAAAGAAGUCCUCUCGCAAUUCCUAAAACUAUGUCGAAGCGACUUUUCCACGCUAACAAGAAGCUUCUGUCAUCAUCUGCAUACAGUCAACCCAACGUAAGUCUUAAACAUUUAAGCUCAGCACUCUUAAAGGAAAUGAGUUUAUUGAUUUGCAUUUGGUUGUAUGUCCAGGUAGAGGCACAAAUGAUUACUGACUAAUAGAAUGGGGGUGGAGCGAAAAGGAAAUGAAAAGAAUCAAGGAGGUCGAACCGAAAAUGAAAUAAUCCAAGCUUUUAUUUGGCAUAUAUUCAUAUAGUAACAUUCUUUCUUCUCCCUCAAUGCAACAGCCAAGAAGUCCGACAAGAUUCCUAUGCUGAAGUUUCACAAUUAGGAGUACUUCAUUCAUAAAUUCUUCAAGGCCUUGUCUUGAACCUUUCGACAGCCUCUUCACAGCUAUUUCUUGACCCAUGGAGAGAUUUCCCUGCAUUAUUUUUUCAAUUAAAUAAGCUUAUGGUGUUCUGUAAACUUGCAAAUCCAUAGCUCAUUACCUUGUAGACUGAACCAAAGCCACCCGCUCCAAUCAUGUUGGUCUGUGAGAAAUGUCCAGUAGCAACAGCAAUGGUAGAAAAAUCAUAUAAUGGUAAAUCAAUGUCUUCCUUCUGACUUUGUAAGCCUACAAGGACGAACUCUAUCUAUCACGUGAAAGUAGUAUUUAAUUUGGUCACGGUCCGACAACAGAAUUUCAACGCAAAUCUUCACAGUUAAAAGGGGACUAAAUUACAAACAAGCUUACCUCUUCUUUUCAUUCUGCUCUUCCACAUAAUGCUCAAUGCUAUACCUGCUAUGAGCAGUCCAGAAAUGACUGAAGCCACCGUGACUGUCAACAGUAUUUUCUUAUUGACAGGGCUUUGGAUGGAAUCUAGAAUUCCCAAGAAAAGCGUGUUAACUAAUUUUGGACGAUAAUAUGUUCAGAAGCUGAUGGAUGUGAUCACAAAUAGUCAAGCAAAACGAUAAGCAAACAAGUAAAUAGUUGGGUACAAGAUCAUGAUUAAUCCAGCAUUCACUAUGUACACACUUUUUAAAAAAGCAAGAUCAUCGCAGCUUAGAAAAGUGGUUGCUAACUGAAUCACUAUGUACAUAUUUACCUAACUCAGAAGCAGAUAAUUUAAUGAAGAUAUUUUGUACAUCUUCUUCAAAUUCUCUUAUAUCAAUGAGAUCGCUGAACCACAUCAGACAGCCGCUUCCUCCUCCUCGUGCAUCUGAAUUAGCAUAAGCUGUGCAAGAACAGUUCUUUAGACACUCCACCUUGCACUCCUCAAGGCUCAUGUUCUUGUUUACCCAGAAGUCUAUCAGGUCGGGCAGAGUCAGCAUCGAAAGUUUCAGAAAGCCCUGUUUUUGAGAGCAAUUUAACUGAGCUUUCCUAAUGCACCCGCUGGUUGAAUUAAAUAACAGCCACUCUUCUGGGGAUUUGGGCAUGAAUCCCUGCAAGCACUGGCAUCUAGGUUCUUCGUUCCUCUUGCAAAAAGCAUUAGCACCACACCGCCCGUAGUGAUCACAUGGAUCAUGGGGAGAUGAGGUCAUGACCUCCCAUGUAGAGCUCUCUCUCUUCCUCAGAAGACGUUGAGCAAGACCAGACUGAUUCAAUGUGAGUAUGGUGAAGAUAUCAUACCUUAAAGAUUCAAACUCAAAAUAUGCAUAUGUUUCAUUGUAAACAAACCACGGCUUGAAAAGGGCACUCUUAGUCGAUGGAUCUCCCGGGAAACCGAAUCCAUUGAAUGGCCCUGUCCGCAAUGUUUUUGUGGAGCCUCGUUUGAGCAUUUCAUAUUGGGGCAACCCAUUAACAUUUAUUCCAAUGGUAUAUUCUCCACAGGAAGGAUCAUCCGUGCUUUUCCAAGAAGUCAGACGCCAUUCGAAACCAGAUUUGAGUUCCAUCCCAUUCGCAUACCAGCUAAANNNNNNNNNNNNNNNNNNNNNNNNNNNNNNNNNNNNNNNNNNNNNNNNNNNNNNNNNNNNNNNNNNNNNNNNNNNNNNNNNNNNNNNNNNNNNNNNNNNNNNNNNNNNNNNNNNNNNNNNNNNNNNNNNNNNNNNNNNNNNNNNNNGCUCUUUGAUCGGUUGAGAACAACAAGAUUCCUCUCAUCGCUAAAUGUGAGAACACCAUUUAAAUCAGUGAGUGGGUUGUUUCGGUUGGCAACCCAAACGACUUUUUCAGGACUAAAUUUGUACCAUAUCCCCAAGUACCUGUACUUGGAGUUUUCUGGAGUGAAGAACCCAAGCUCAAAGCUUUGGCCUGAAGAGACCAAUCUCUCUCCAUCUUUAAUGGACUGACCUGGACUUAAGGUAUCGGAUGCGAUCACCAAGUUCAGCAUAAACAUGACAUAAACAGAGUAAAAGAAGGGGGAAUAUGGAACCUUUUCCAAUGCCAUGAAGUCUUCUGUCAGUUUUUCCCUAGCUCCUCCCUCUCAAUGAAAAGUUUUCAACUCGAAGGUUCUCACCAAGAAAAUCCAGCUGAAGUCCACCUGACAAGAUAUUCUGUGAUUCUGUAGCAGGUUCUAUCACUGGAAACUCCCAACGAAAUAAGUAAGCAAAGGUCAUGAAAUGGAGACGCCCAAGUUUGCCAAGUGUUUUUAUUGGGAGACUUAUGAUGUCUAUUCAUGCAAUGGGAGAAGGUCAUGCCCACUCCUCAUGGCUAGCCCAUCAACUAGGUCGGUUCGGUUGGUCCAAAGUAGUAAGAUUUAAAUUGAUCUAUUUUUAUGCAAUGCUAUGUAAACGACUCAUAAUCGUUUCAACCCUAAUCUCAUGCAAACUCUACCCAACCUAAACUCCAAUUUUUAGCAAAUUUUUUUAAAAUGUUGCCUUUGAAAGAUGGGCAACUUUAUGGACUAGCUCUUCGAGUUGGUGAGAGAGCUCAAUUAGUUCGGGUCCUAGCCUAGGACUACUCAUUGUACAUGAGCAACGUGAAGACACGGGUGAGCGCAACACUGCCGGACAAGAACACCUCCUUGGACUGGUUCUAUAAUAUUUUGGUUUGUUGACUUGGUCAAAUCAAGUGGCUAAUAAAACAAAGAAAAAGAAGACGACUUUAAGCAAAAAGACAUUGACGAAGAGAUAAAAGGGGAAGAAGAAAAAGAGAGGGAUGGCAACGGAGAGGAAAAGGGAAGAAGAGGAAAGGGAAAGGAAAAGAGGGAAAUUUGUGCGUACACGCCACAGAGACCUCGCCAUGAGUAACUUUCAGAAUUAGGAUACAAAUCCGAAAUUAUGUGAAAUUUGAGUCCAAUUUAGAGUAGUCAAGUUGUGGAAUUACAUGGAAAUUAUGGACCAUGGUGUUAUUGAGCCGUGAGAUUUGACAAGAGUUGAUUUGAAGUAAUGGUUUGAUUGGACCCAAAUUUUAGAGUUUCGCAUGCAAACUUCAUUUCACGGAUAACUUUGAAUAAUUGCUGUGGGCAAGCGAUUUGUAAAACGCGUAACAGUCAUUUNNNNNNNNNNNNNNNNNNNNNNNNNNNNNNNNNNNNNNNNNNNNNNNNNNNNNNNNNNNNNNNNNNNNNNNNNNNNNNNNNNNNNNNNNNNNNNNNNNNNAAUUGUGCCAAUUCGGUCAUAAACUUUUUUUUUAGUCAAUUUAGUUUUAAACAUUUUGUAUUUGUGUCAGUUCAGUUCAUUCGACCAAUUUUGAUCGACCAACGCUGAUGUGCCGCUAUUGACACUAACAUGGCAUUUUAAAAAUAAUAUUUUAAUAACUUUUUCUUUUAUUUUCUUUAUUUGUUUCCCUUCACCUUCCCCUACCUUUAGCAUUGGCAAGGGUCAUUGGUUGACCCCUGUUGACCAUAGGUGAGGGCUACAACACCCUCGCUAGGGUCACCGGUUGACCCUUGCCGACCAUAGGCGAGGGCUACGAUGCGCUUGCCAAGUCGACCCUCGCCAACCAUAGGUGAGGGCCAAGAUGCCCUUGCUAGAAGUGGACAAGGGCAUUGUGGCCCUUGCCGGCAUCCUCGCCUGGCUAUAUUGAGCACUAACGGUAGGAGAAGGGGAAGGGGAAGGGCAAAAAACAAAGAAAAUAAAAGAAAGAAGAAAAAAAAUUAUUAAAAUAUUAAAAUAUUAUUUUAAAAAUGCAAUGUCAGCGCCGAUAGCACCACUCGGUGCCAACUGGCCAAAAUUAGUCAAAUGGACUGAACUAGUACAUAUAUAAAAGGUUUAGGACUAAAUUGGCUAAAAAAGAAGAAGUUUAUGACUGAAUUGGUUUAAUUACAAUAAAAUUUAUGACUUUUUUGGUAAUUCUCUCAUCAUUUUGUUAGCAUUUAAACUUAAUUUAGCUAAUUUGUAGAUGGGUAGAGCUCCUCUACUUCAGCUUGUAUACUUGUAUUUAGAAAGCGGUAUGGAUUAAAUAUAUUAAAAACUACUAAAAGCAUGUCUAUUGUAUAAAUCUAGACCGAGUAAUUACUAUUUUGUAAUUACUACCUUUCGGUUAUUUGUGAAUGGUUUGAAAAACGUUUUAUGAAAAGCGUUUCAAAAGUUUAAUGCACUAUAUUAACAUCAUGUUACUUAUCGUUUUGCUAUUCUUGUCAUUUUGAUUAAUGCACUGAAAGUGUUGUUGGACUCAUUUAAUUAAGACCAAACAAUAGAUAAUUUAUAUUGUUUAUAAAUGUGUAAAUAAUUCAUUGGGAUACUACGUAUCGAUGUAUCAUAUAAGAAUAAAUUGAAGCAGUAAAUAUAAUUACUUGCUCCUACAAAAGGUCAGAGAGUUUAUAUGAUUUAUCUCCACGAAUAAUCAUUGGCGAUGAUCAAUAAAAAAGGCCUUCCCCAUGUUGCUUGAGCCACUGAAUCAUACAACGAUAAUCUUUUAUUGCAGCCCUCGUCUCGUUCUAAACAGUCCUUGCUGCGAGGUAGCCAAAGAUUUGUGUACACAAUCUUCUGAACCUUUUUACCAUCAUGCACCGAGAAAGUUGAUCUAAAAUUCUAAAUUCAACACUGCAGGGAACAUCCUCAAUGGGAAGUUCAUCGACCUUCUGGCAUGGUGAUCGUAACGAUAUUC
Molecule: long non-coding RNA, 5962 nt
Filed under: Eucalyptus grandis
Lineage: Eukaryota; Viridiplantae; Streptophyta; Magnoliopsida; Myrtales; Myrtaceae
Description: long non-coding RNA (EGRA_LNC003585)
Source: RNAcentral